Molecule: ribosomal RNA, 806 nt
Filed under: uncultured bacterium
Lineage: Bacteria
Description: bacterial SSU rRNA
Rfam family: Bacterial small subunit ribosomal RNA
Source: RNAcentral
CCUGUAAGACUGGGAUAACUCGCGGAAAACGUGAGCUAAUACCCGGAUAACACUUUCGAACCACAUGGUUUGAAGAUGAAAGGCGGCGCAAGCUGUCACUUUACAGAUGGGCCCGCGGCGCAUUAGCUAGUUGGUGAGGUAAUGGCUCACCAAGGCGACGAUGCGUAGCCGACCUGAGAGGGUGAUCGGCCACACUGGGACUGAGACACGGCCCAGACUCCUACGGGAGGCAGCAGUAGGGAAUCUUCCGCAAUGGACGAAAGUCUGACGGAGCAACGCCGCGUGAGUGAUGAAGGUUUUCGGAUUGUAAAACUCUGUUGUUAGGGAAGAACAAGUACAAUAGUAACUGAUUGUACCUUGACGGUACCUAACCAGAAAGCCCCGGCUAACUACGUGCCAGCAGCCGCGGUAAUACGUAGGGGGCAAGCGUUGUCCGGAAUUAUUGGGCGUAAAGCGCGCGCAGGCGGUCCUUUAAGUCUGAUGUGAAAGCCCACGGCUUAACCGUGGAGGGUCAUUGGAAACUGGAGGACUUGAGUACAGAAGAGGAGAGUGGAAUUCCACGUGUAGCGGUGAAAUGCGUAGAGAUGUGGAGGAACACCAGUGGCGAAGGCGACUCUCUGGUCUGUAACUGACGCUGAGGCGCGAAAGCGUGGGGAGCGAACAGGAUUAGAUACCCUGGUAGUCCACGCCGUAAACGAUGAGUGCUAGGUGUUAGGGGGUUUCCGCCCCUUAGUGCUGAAGUUAACGCAUUAAGCACUCCGCCUGGGGAGUACGGCCGCAAGGCUGAAACUCAAAGGAAUUGACGG